Molecule: transfer RNA, 35 nt
Filed under: Codonopsis tubulosa
Lineage: Eukaryota; Viridiplantae; Streptophyta; Magnoliopsida; Asterales; Campanulaceae
Also listed under: 1 other name
Description: partial tRNA-Leu
Source: RNAcentral
AUCCGUCGAUUUUAGAAAUCGUGAGGGUUCAAGUC